This 1550-nucleotide long non-coding RNA is filed under the name Homo sapiens (human). RNAcentral describes it as "HSALNT0331256". The record is from RNAcentral. Lineage: Eukaryota; Metazoa; Chordata; Mammalia; Primates; Hominidae.
UUUUUAGUAGAGACAAGGUUUCACCAUGUUGGGCAGGAUGGUCUCGAUUUCCUGACCUCGUGAUCCGUCCGCCUCGGCCUCCCAAAGUGCUGAGAUUACAGGCGUGAGCCACUGCACCCGGCCCCUCUGAUUUUUAAAUGUGUAACUAAAUUAAAAAAUUUUUAAGCCCAGCCAGGUUGGUCUCGAACUCCUGACCUCAAGUGAUCCACCCGCCAUGACCUCCCAAAGUGGUGGGAUUAGAGGCAUUAGCCACCAAGCCCAGCCAAAAAAAAAAAAAACUAUUUUUAAACCCUGUGUAAGUCAGACCUGUCUGCAAGCCAGAUUUGGGCCAAGGACCCUUAGCGGAUUAGAUCAGAAUCUCAUGUUCUGAUAGUUCUUACUUUGUACCUCCACAAAGGUGAACCCCUGAGAGAGAAAAGGUUGCUUCCUAUCAGCAGAAUUUAGACCCCUACAUUAAAGUUUUGCCUCCCCCAUUCUUUGGUUGUGGUUAUGUUAAGGAGAUACUGGUACUAAGAAAAACUACUAAAACUACACGUACACAUGGUCCCCAACUUCCUAUGGUUCAGCUUUAUGAUUUUUUUCAACUUUACGAUGGUGUGAAAGCAAUAGAUGUUGAGUAGAAACUGUACUUCUCUUGCACUGCUAGGCAGCAAUUGGUAAUAAGUUUAUCUAGAUGUAACCCCAUUGUAAGUCAAGGAACAUCUGUAGAGUGAGAGAAAGCAUGGAAAUCUUCUGCUGACUUGCAGGAUCCAUUCACCACUCAUUGGUAAAGGAUGAAUUCCUUGUUUUUACCUUUUUUUUUUUUAAGAGGGUCUCUUGCUGGAUGCAGUGGCUCACGCCUAUAAUCCCAACACUUUGGGAGGCCAAGGCAGGUGGAUCAUAAGGUCAAGAGGGCGAGACCAUCCUGGCCAAUAUGGUGAAACCCAGUCUCUACUGAAAAUAGAAAAAUUAGCUGGACGUGGUGACACACGCCUAUAGUCCCAGCUACUUAGGAGGCUGAGGCAGGAGAAUUGCUUGAACCCGGGAGGUGGAGGUUGCAGUGAUCCAAGAUCGCGCCACUGCACUCCAGCCUGGCAAAAGAGCAGCAAGACUUCAUCUCAAAAAAAAAAAAAAAAAAAAACAGGGUCUCUGUAUGUUGCCUAAGCUGGUCAUGAGCUCUUGGGUUCAAGUCAUCCUUCUACCUUGGCCGCCCAAAGGGCUGUGAUUACAGGCAUGAGCCGUUACACCCAGCCUGCUGUUAUCAAGUAUGCAUUUAAGUCUUGCCCAAAGUAUUUGUGUAUUUUGGUACUUUUAAUGCUGUUUUAAAAUGAACAUUCCUUAAAGUUGACUGGACCAUUUCUAAUACAAUAAGGAUAAUUUUAAAAGACCUGGAAGAAAUUCAGUUUUCAUGAAUAUUAUACUGUUAAGAGAGGGAAAAAAAUAUCGACCUUGAUGAGUUUUUCUUACAUGUGUUCUUGUUUGCUAUGAAUUCAUUGGGAGAAAAUAUUUGCUGCCUUUUUACUGUGCAUUCCAACUGUAUUCUUAAAACAUUUCAAAAUGUAUGUAUAUUU